GUGGGGAAUAUUGGACAAUGGGCGCAAGCCUGAUCCAGCCAUGCCGCGUGAGUGAUGAAGGCCUUAGGGUUGUAAAGCUCUUUCAGUGGGGACGAUAAUGACGGUACCCACAGAAGAAGCCCCGGCUAACUUCGUGCCAGCAGCCGCGGUAAUACGAAGGGGGCUAGCGUUGUUCGGAUUUACUGGGCGUAAAGCGCACGUAGGCGGAUCGUUAAGUCGGGGGUGAAAUCCUGGAGCUCAACUCCAGAACUGCCUUCGAUACUGGCGAUCUUGAGUCCGGUAGAGGUGAGUGGAACUCCUAGUGUAGAGGUGGAAUUCGUAGAUAUUAGGAAGAACACCAGUGGCGAAGGCGGCUCACUGGUCCGGUACUGACGCUGAGGUGCGAAAGCGUGGGGAGCAAACAGGAUUAGAAACCCGUGUAGUCC
This 425-nucleotide ribosomal RNA is filed under the name uncultured bacterium. RNAcentral describes it as "bacterial SSU rRNA". It matches the Rfam family "Bacterial small subunit ribosomal RNA", at positions 354 to 796 of the family's 1533-position model. The record is from RNAcentral.